Non-coding RNA from Meleagris gallopavo (turkey), 305 nucleotides. The record is from RefSeq and is a predicted model, not a curated record. Lineage: Eukaryota; Metazoa; Chordata; Aves; Galliformes; Phasianidae.
UCCUUCCUCCUCUCCUCCUCUUCCUUCUCCCCUCGGCGGCAGCAGCCGUGCCCCCCCCGGCGGGCAUGGUGGUGGCCGAGCCCGAGGAUGACCCCCCGAUCAUUUAUUUCCGGGCACUGGUGAACUUCACCCACAGCAUCGACUUCAGCCCCCGCCUGGAGGACCCCACCUCAGAGGAGUUCCAUGAGGUGUCCCAGGCUGUGGUGGACACGCUGGAGUCAGAGUAUUACAAGAUCCCUGGGGAGCAGAUGGUCAGCGUGGUGUUCAUCAAGUGAGUGGGUCAUAGGGGGGGCUUGGGGGAGGGG